Leopardus geoffroyi (Geoffroy's cat) is the source of this 236-nucleotide long non-coding RNA. RefSeq lists it as uncharacterized. The transcript is spliced from 3 exons. The record is from RefSeq and is a predicted model, not a curated record. NCBI's taxonomy places the organism in Eukaryota, Metazoa, Chordata, Mammalia, Carnivora, Felidae.
CUCUUUCCAUACAUGAGGCACUUUCGAAGUUCUGUUGGGGUUGAAAGAAUAAAGCUAGUUUAAAGGGGGCUCCCAUUGGCCAAGAUAUAACAAUUUAAACAUCAAAAUAGAAAAUUAAAAUUGUACUUAAUUAAAGCAAGUAGUCUCUGGAAAAAUUUGUCUCCCUAAUUUCUUUUAAAAGAAAAUAUGUGGGGUGCCUCAGUCAGUUAAGCAUCCAACUUCAGCUCAGGUCAUGA